Molecule: ribosomal RNA, 468 nt
Filed under: uncultured bacterium
Lineage: Bacteria
Description: partial 16S ribosomal RNA
Rfam family: Bacterial small subunit ribosomal RNA
Source: RNAcentral
GACGAACGCUGGCGGCGUGCUUAACACAUGCAAGUCGAACGGAAAGGCCCUGCUUUUGUGGGGUGCUCGAGUGGCGAACGGGUGAGUAACACGUGAGUAACCUGCCCUUGACUUUGGGAUAACUUCAGGAAACUGGGGCUAAUACCGGAUAGGAGCUCCUGCUGCAUGGUGGGGGUGGGAAAGUUUCGGCGGUUGGGGAUGGACUCGCGGCUUAUCAGCUUGUUGGUGGGGUAGUGGCUUACCAAGGCUUGGACGGGUAGCCGGCCUGAGAGGGUGACCGGCCCAACUGGGACUGAGAUACGGCACAGACUCCUACGGGACGCAGCAGUGGGGAAUAUUGUACAAUGGGCGGAAGCAUGAUGCAGCAACGCCGCGUGCGGGAUGACGGCCUUCGGGUUGUAAACCGCUUUCGCCUGUGACGAAGCGUGAGUGACGGUAAUGGGUAAAGAAGCACCGGCUAACUACGUG